GGGGUUGUAGCUCAUAUGGUAGAGCGCUCGCUUCGCAUGCGAGAGGUACGGAGUUCGAUUCUCCGCAGCUCCA
RNAcentral lists this transfer RNA (73 nucleotides) under Jatropha curcas. It matches the Rfam family "tRNA". From Rfam's summary of the family: Transfer RNA (tRNA) molecules are approximately 80 nucleotides in length. Their secondary structure includes four short double-helical elements and three loops (D, anti-codon, and T loops). The record is from Rfam by way of RNAcentral. Lineage: Eukaryota; Viridiplantae; Streptophyta; Magnoliopsida; Malpighiales; Euphorbiaceae.